RNAcentral lists this transfer RNA (74 nucleotides) under Marmota monax (woodchuck). Its description in RNAcentral is "tRNA.Ala". The record is from RNAcentral. Lineage: Eukaryota; Metazoa; Chordata; Mammalia; Rodentia; Sciuridae.
UGGGGUUUAAAGCUCAGUGGUAAAGUGCUUGCCUUGCAUGCAUGAGGCACUGGGUUCAAUCCUCAGCACCACAU